RNA transcript from Capra hircus (goat), 580 nucleotides. It is a transcript of the gene named anaphase-promoting complex subunit 15 pseudogene, with no coding region annotated. The record is from RefSeq and is a predicted model, not a curated record. The transcript has a single exon. Lineage: Eukaryota; Metazoa; Chordata; Mammalia; Artiodactyla; Bovidae.
AUGCUUCCGGGUUGCCGCUGGCUGCCGCCUCCCGGCGCACUCCAGAGCAUUGCAGAGAAAAACAACCUGGUACCUAUUGGCAAGCCGGCCUCAGAGCACUAUGACGACGAGGAAGAGGAAGACGACGACGAGGACAGUGAAGAGGACUCAGAGGAUGACGAGGACAUGCAGGACAUGGAUGAGAUGAAUGACUACAAUGAGUCACCUGAUGACGGGGAGGUCAGUGAGGUGGACAUGGAAGGCAACGAACAGGAUCAGGACCAGAUGAUGAUCUAGGUAGACAGAAAAGGUGGUCUCAAGAAAAGGGGUCCAAGGACGGCCCUGGACUCCCUGCAGAACCAGCUGAUCACCCACCUACAUGGCCCACCCCAGUGCCUGAAUGCUCAUCCUCAGGCACUUCCUCAGCUGCUGCCAGGACCUGAUCUUCUUGGUACCUCCCAGGCCAUCAGUCUGCCCUUGAAUCCCCAGGGCCUAAGCCCAGCCCACUCCCUUCUAGCCAGCAUCUCACCCCUUGUUUGUCAGAUCUAGUCUCUAACUUUCUUUAAUAAAGACACAGGACUGAAAAUAGAAAAAUAAAAAA